Molecule: ribosomal RNA, 510 nt
Filed under: uncultured bacterium
Lineage: Bacteria
Description: partial 16S ribosomal RNA
Rfam family: Bacterial small subunit ribosomal RNA
Source: RNAcentral
GACGAACGCUGGCGGCGUGCUUAACACAUGCAAGUCGAACGAAGAGCGAUGGAAGCUUGCUUCUAUCAAUCUUAGUGGCGAACGGGUGAGUAACGCGUAAUCAACCUGCCCUUCAGAGGGGGACAACAGUUGGAAACGACUGCUAAUACCGCAUACGAUCUAAUCUCGGCAUCGAGGAUAGAUGAAAGGUGGCCUCUACAUGUAAGCUAUCACUGAAGGAGGGGAUUGCGUCUGAUUAGCUAGUUGGAGGGGUAACGGCCCACCAAGGCGAGGAUCAGUAGCCGGUCUGAGAGGAUGAACGGCCACAUUGGGACUGAGACACGGCCCAGACUCCUACGGGAGGCAGCAGUGGGGAAUCUUCCGCAAUGGACGAAAGUCUGACGGAGCAACGCCGCGUGAGUGAUGACGGCCGUCGGGUUGUAAAGCUCUGUUAAUCGGGACGAAAGGCCUUCUUGCGAAUAGUGAGAAGGAUUGACGGUACCGGAAUAGAAAGCCACGGCUAACUACGUG